Molecule: ribosomal RNA, 97 nt
Filed under: uncultured bacterium
Lineage: Bacteria
Description: partial 16S ribosomal RNA
Rfam family: Bacterial small subunit ribosomal RNA
Source: RNAcentral
CACACCGCCCGUCACACCAUGGAAGUCUGUUGCACCAGAAGUCGGUAGUCUAACCGCAAGGAGGGCGCCGACCACGGUGUGGCCGAUGACUGGGGUG